RNAcentral lists this ribosomal RNA (922 nucleotides) under uncultured bacterium. RNAcentral's name for it is "bacterial SSU rRNA". It matches the Rfam family "Bacterial small subunit ribosomal RNA", at positions 574 to 1501 of the family's 1533-position model. The record is from RNAcentral.
GGCGGUUCGGAAAGAAAGAUGUGAAAUCCCAGAGCUUAACUUUGGAACUGCAUUUUUAACUACCGAGCUAGAGUGUGUCAGAGGGAGGUGGAAUUCCGCGUGUAGCAGUGAAAUGCGUAGAUAUGCGGAGGAACACCGAUGGCGAAGGCAGCCUCCUGGGAUAACACUGACGCUCAUGCACGAAAGCGUGGGGAGCAAACAGGAUUAGAUACCCUGGUAGUCCACGCCCUAAACGAUGUCAACUAGCUGUUGGGGCCUUCGGGCCUUGGUAGCGCAGCUAACGCGUGAAGUUGACCGCCUGGGGAGUACGGUCGCAAGAUUAAAACUCAAAGGAAUUGACGGGGACCCGCACAAGCGGUGGAUGAUGUGGAUUAAUUCGAUGCAACGCGAAAAACCUUACCUACCCUUGACAUGUCUGGAAUCCUGAAGAGAUUUAGGAGUGCUCGCAAGAGAACCGGAACACAGGUGCUGCAUAGCUGUCGUCAGCUCGUGUCGUGAGAUGUUGGGUUAAGUCCCGCAACGAGCGCAACCCUUGUCAUUAGUUGCUACGAAAGGGCACUCUAAUGAGACUGCCGGUGACAAACCGGAGGAAGGUGGGGAUGACGUCAAGUCCUCAUGGCCCUUAUGGGUAGGGCUUCACACGUCAUACAAUGGUCGGGACAGAGGGUCGCCAACCCGCGAGGGGGAGCCAAUCCCAGAAACCCGAUCGUAGUCCGGAUCGCAGUCUGCAACUCGACUGCGUGAAGUCGGAAUCGCUAGUAAUCGCGGAUCAGCAUGUCGCGGUGAAUACGUUCCCGGGUCUUGUACACACCGCCCGUCACACCAUGGGAGUGGGUUUUACCAGAAGUAGUUAGCCUAACCGUAAGGGGGGCGAUUACCACGGUAGGAUUCAUGACUGGGGUGAAGUCGUAACAAGGUAACC